Molecule: transfer RNA, 74 nt
Organism: Phlebiopsis gigantea 11061_1 CR5-6
Lineage: Eukaryota; Fungi; Basidiomycota; Agaricomycetes; Polyporales; Phanerochaetaceae
Rfam family: tRNA
About the family: Transfer RNA (tRNA) molecules are approximately 80 nucleotides in length.
Source: Rfam
GGCCGACUAGCUCAGUUGGUUAGAGCGUCGUACUAAUAAUGCGAAGGUCGUCAGUUCAAUCCUGGCGUUGGCCA